RNAcentral lists this ribosomal RNA (390 nucleotides) under uncultured bacterium. RNAcentral describes it as "bacterial SSU rRNA". It matches the Rfam family "Bacterial small subunit ribosomal RNA", at positions 28 to 420 of the family's 1533-position model. The record is from RNAcentral.
GACGAACGCUGGCGGCGUGCUUAACACAUGCAAGUCGAGCGGUAAGGCCCUUUCGGGGGUACACGAGCGGCGAACGGGUGAGUAACACGUGGGUGACCUGCCCUCAGCUCUGGGAUAAGCCUGGGAAACCGGGUCUAAUACUGGAUAUGACUCCAUGACGCAUGUUGUGGGGUGGAAAGCCUUGUGCGGCUGAGGAUGGGCCCGCGGCCUAUCAGCUUGUUGGUGGGGUGANGGCCACCAAGGCGACGACGGGUAGCCGGCCUGAGAGGGCGACCGGCCACACUGGGACUGAGACACGGCCCAGACUCCUACGGGAGGCAGCAGUGGGGAAUCUUGCGCAAUGGGCGAAAGCCUGACGCAGCGACGCCGCGUGAGGGAUGACGGCCUCGG